This 301-nucleotide ribosomal RNA is filed under the name uncultured bacterium. Its description in RNAcentral is "partial 16S ribosomal RNA". It matches the Rfam family "Bacterial small subunit ribosomal RNA", at positions 510 to 808 of the family's 1533-position model. The record is from RNAcentral.
CAUCGCCACGGUAAAACGUAGGGUGCGAGCGUUAAUCGGAAUUACUGGGCGUAAAGCGGGCGCAGACGGUUACUUAAGCAGGAUGUGAAAUCCCCGGGCUCAACCUGGGAACUGCGUUCUGAACUGGGUGACUAGAGUGUGUCAGAGGGAGGUAGAAUUCCACGUGUAGCAGUGAAAUGCGUAGAGAUGUGGAGGAAUACCGAUGGCGAAGGCAGCCUCCUGGGAUAACACUGACGUUCAUGCCCGAAAGCGUGGGUAGCAAACAGGAUUAGAUACCCCCGUAGUCCCUGUCUCUUAUACA